AUUGAACGCUGGCGGCAGGCCUAACACAUGCAAGUCGAAUGGUAACAGGAAACAGCUUGCUGUUUCGCUGACGAGUGGCGGACGGGUGAGUAAUGUCUGGGAAACUGCCUGAUGGAGGGGGAUAACUACUGGAAACGGUAGCUAAUACCGUAUAACGUCGCAAGACCAAAGAGGGGGACCUUCGGGCCUCUUGCCAUCAGAUGUGCCCAGAUGGGAUUAGCUAGUAGGUGGGGUAACGGCUCACCUAGGCGACGAUCCCUAGCUGGUCUGAGAGGAUGACCAGCCACACUGGAACUGAGACACGGUCCAGACUCCUACGGGAGGCAGCAGUGGGGAAUAUUGCACAAUGGGCGCAAGCCUGAUGCAGCCAUGCCGCGUGUAUGAAGAAGGCCUUCGGGUUGUAAAGUACUUUCAGCGGGGAGGAAGGGAGUAAAGUUAAUACCUUUGCUCAUUGACGUUACCCGCAGAAGAAGCACCGGCUAACUCCGUG
This 490-nucleotide ribosomal RNA is filed under the name uncultured bacterium. Its description in RNAcentral is "partial 16S ribosomal RNA". It matches the Rfam family "Bacterial small subunit ribosomal RNA", at positions 30 to 507 of the family's 1533-position model. The record is from RNAcentral.